CCUACGUGCGGCAGCAGUGGGGAAUAUUGGACAAUGGGCGAAAGCCUGAUCCAGCCAUGCCGCGUGUGUGAAGAAGGCCUUCGGGUUGUAAAGCACUUUCAGUGGGGAAGAAAGCCUUGGGGCUAAUACCCUCGAGGAAGGACAUCACCCACAGAAGAAGCACCGGCUAACUCCGUGCCAGCAGCCGCGGUAAUACGGAGGGUGCGAGCGUUAAUCGGAAUUACUGGGCGUAAAGCGCGCGUAGGCGGUCUGAUAAGCCGGUUGUGAAAGCCCCGGGCUCAACCUGGGAACGGCAUCCGGAACUGUCAGGCUAGAGUGCAGGAGAGGAAGGUAGAAUUCCCGGUGUAGCGGUGAAAUGCGUAGAGAUCAGGAGGAAUACCAGUGGCGAAGGCGGCCUUCUGGACUGACACUGACGCUGAGGUGCGAAAGCGUGGGUAGCAAACAGGAUUAGAUACCCGAGUAGUC
Molecule: ribosomal RNA, 465 nt
Filed under: Vreelandella stevensii
Lineage: Bacteria; Pseudomonadati; Pseudomonadota; Gammaproteobacteria; Oceanospirillales; Halomonadaceae
Description: partial 16S ribosomal RNA
Rfam family: Bacterial small subunit ribosomal RNA
Source: RNAcentral